Molecule: transfer RNA, 69 nt
Filed under: Paralaudakia caucasia (Caucasian Agama)
Lineage: Eukaryota; Metazoa; Chordata; Lepidosauria; Squamata; Agamidae
Description: tRNA-Trp
Rfam family: tRNA
About the family: Transfer RNA (tRNA) molecules are approximately 80 nucleotides in length.
Source: RNAcentral
AGAAACUUAGGAUUAAAUUAAACCACUGACCUUCAACGUCACAAACAAGGGAUAAACCCUUAGUUUCUG